AUUAGACCCGAUUCUUCUGAAUUGCAGGGGGCAUGGAUUUCGGCUUCAGAAAAUGGUGCGAAGAGGGGGGAGGCAAUCUCUGACCCGCAACCACGACAGGCAAGGCUCUCAAAAGAAGUCAGUUCUGUUCUGACCCUGCGAUAUCCGCCUCUUGGAAACAGAGGCUAAAAGACCUACAGGAACCCCGGUCCUCUGCCUGCAGCUGGGAUCGGAAUCUUCUCCGCAACGGGGAACAAAUCACCGGGUCCCCUUCAAUAAAGGAUUUCUACUCAAUCCGGCCUCGUCUAAAAAUAAUAAAAAAAAUAU
This is a long non-coding RNA of Pezoporus occidentalis (night parrot), 306 nucleotides long. RefSeq lists it as uncharacterized. NCBI's taxonomy places the organism in Eukaryota, Metazoa, Chordata, Aves, Psittaciformes, Psittacidae. The record is from RefSeq and is a predicted model, not a curated record. The transcript has 2 exons.